This 450-nucleotide ribosomal RNA is filed under the name uncultured Glomeromycotina. RNAcentral's name for it is "SSU rRNA". It matches the Rfam family "Eukaryotic small subunit ribosomal RNA", at positions 569 to 1024 of the family's 1831-position model. The record is from RNAcentral. Lineage: Eukaryota; Fungi; Glomeromycota.
AGCAGCCGCGGUAAUUCCAGCUCCAAUAGCGUAUAUUAAAGUUGCUGCAGUUAAAAAGCUCGUAGUUGAAUUUCGGGAUCGAUAUAUCGGUCGUGCCUCGGUACGUACUGGUAUUUUCGGUUUCUACCUUCUGACGAACCUUGAUGUCAUUAAUUUGGUGUCUUGGGGAAUCAGGACUGUUACUUUGAAAAAAUUAGAGUGUUUAAAGCAGGCUCACGCUUGAAUACAUUAGCAUGGAAUAAUGAAAUAGGACGUUUGAUUCUAUUUUGUUGGUUUCUAGGAUCGACGUAAUGAUUAAUAGGGAUAGUUGGGGGCAUUAGUAUUCAAUUGUCAGAGGUGAAAUUCUUGGAUUUAUUGAAGACUAACUACUGCGAAAGCAUUUGCCAAGGAUGUUUUCAUUAAUCAAGAACGAAAGUUAGGGGAUCGAAGACGAUCAGAUACCGUCGUAGU